Molecule: ribosomal RNA, 460 nt
Filed under: uncultured bacterium
Lineage: Bacteria
Description: partial 16S ribosomal RNA
Rfam family: Bacterial small subunit ribosomal RNA
Source: RNAcentral
CCUACGGGAGGCAGCGGUGAGGAAUAUUGGUCAAUGGACGAGAGUCUGAACCAGCCAAGUAGCGUGAAGGAUGACUGCCCUAUGGGUUGUAAACUUCUUUUAUAUGGGAAUAAAAUGUUCCACGUGUGGGAUUUUGUAUGUACCAUAUGAAUAAGGAUCGGCUAACUCCGUGCCAGCAGCCGCGGUAAUACGGAGGAUCCGAGCGUUAUCCGGAUUUAUUGGGUUUAAAGGGAGCGUAGGUGGAUUGUUAAGUCAGUUGUGAAAGUUUGCGGCUCAACCGUAAAAUUGCAGUUGAAACUGGCAGUCUUGAGUACAGUAGAGGUGGGCGGAAUUCGUGGUGUAGCGGUGAAAUGCUUAGAUAUCACGAAGAACUCCGAUUGCGAAGGCAGUUCACUGGACUGCAACUGACACUGAGGCUCGAAAGUGUGGGUAUCAAACAGGAUUAGAUACCCCAGUAGUC